This is a long non-coding RNA of Juglans regia (Persian walnut), 799 nucleotides long. RefSeq lists it as uncharacterized. NCBI's taxonomy places the organism in Eukaryota, Viridiplantae, Streptophyta, Magnoliopsida, Fagales, Juglandaceae. The record is from RefSeq and is a predicted model, not a curated record. The transcript is spliced from 2 exons.
AGAAAGAGAAAGAGAAAACCCUAUCAGCAAGAGGAAAGUGAAUGUAAAGGUUGGAGGAAAACUAAACGAGUACUCGGGUCAGAUAACAGAAGGUAGUGCCAUUUCUUUCUUACGUUCCCAAAAUGCUGAGAAGAAAGCCCAGCAAGAUCCAACUCCAGAUCGAAGACAAGGAAGAGCUCGACGAAGCCCGCAAACAUGCCCCAGCCGCCGCCACCACUGCCGCCGCCGCAGCCACUGGAGCAGCCACUCUUCUCCAUCAGCUCGACCGCCACUCCAAAGACCCUUCCGUCCCCCACCGCAUCGGCCUUUCCUCCCAAUAAUCUAAAAAAGGCCCCCCAAUAUAGCAGUCAAUAUCUUUUCUUUCUUUUUCCUUUAUUUGUAUUUGCUCGGAACUGGAGCAGCUUAUUCAUGGAGGUCAAGGUUAAUCUGCGGCUUCCAGACACGGGCCCUGUCACCGAUGUUCUGGCCCCGUUCCAGGAAGAACCACCUCUUCGACGGCCCGGACAAGUCCAAGUUCGGGAGCUGCAGUAGCAAAGAUUAUUAGCUGCCAGUGAUGUGAAAGAUCUCCUGGUGAUGAAGCAAAGCUUGGACUCGGACACCUUAAAGGAAUGGCUGUUCUCGCCCCCCGAAGGCUGAAGCAGCAUACUCCAGAAAGUUUGAAACUCUCCAAGUUUGUAAUAAAUCCAUAUUUUAUAUAAUGUCACCAGCUUUUCUUUUAAACUCGAUGAAGAAAUUCACUUACUUUGGUUGUUUCUCCUUAUUGAUUAUUGGCGUUCAUCAUCCCUUAUAGUUAUUAUUA